This is a long non-coding RNA of Ruditapes philippinarum (Manila clam), 224 nucleotides long. RefSeq lists it as uncharacterized. The transcript is spliced from 3 exons. The record is from RefSeq and is a predicted model, not a curated record. NCBI's taxonomy places the organism in Eukaryota, Metazoa, Mollusca, Bivalvia, Venerida, Veneridae.
UAUAUUAUUGUGUAUAAAUAUAGUUUGAAAGCUUAUUUAUCUAACUUACUGCACAUGUAAUAAUUUCGGUGUUGGCUCAUUGUUGGAUUUAUAUAUAUUAAAACAAACCAUGAUUGUCAUUAUAGUUCUUACAGUACUUUCACUCCUAGAUGAUUCAGUUGCACUCACGUGUUAUGACUGUCAGAAGAUUGACAACCAGAAAUCGUGUAACGUGACAACCACGU